AGGGCCUAAGCAUAGUGUUUAAGAGCUUGGUUGCUAACCAAAAGGUUGGUGGUUCAAAUCCACCAGCUGUUC
RNAcentral lists this transfer RNA (72 nucleotides) under Loxodonta africana (African savanna elephant). It matches the Rfam family "tRNA". Rfam says of the family: Transfer RNA (tRNA) molecules are approximately 80 nucleotides in length. Their secondary structure includes four short double-helical elements and three loops (D, anti-codon, and T loops). Further hydrogen bonds mediate the characteristic L-shaped molecular structure. tRNAs have two regions of fundamental functional importance: the anti-codon, which is responsible for specific mRNA codon recognition, and the 3' end, to which the tRNAs corresponding amino acid is attached (by aminoacyl-tRNA synthetases). tRNAs cope with the degeneracy of the genetic code in two manners: having more than one tRNA (with a specific anti-codon) for a particular amino acid; and 'wobble' base-pairing, i.e. permitting non-standard base-pairing at the 3rd anti-codon position. Lineage: Eukaryota; Metazoa; Chordata; Mammalia; Proboscidea; Elephantidae. The record is from Rfam by way of RNAcentral.